ACGGGUGAGUAACACGUGGGAACGUACCCUUAUCUUCGGAAUAGCUCCGGGAAACUGGAAUUAAUACCGAAUGCGCCCUCUGGGGGAAAGAUUUAUCGGAUAAGGAUCGGCCCGCGUUGGAUUAGCUAGUUGGUGGGGUAAAGGCCUACCAAGGCGACGAUCCAUAGCUGGUCUGAGAGGAUGAUCAGCCACAUUGGGACUGAGACACGGCCCAAACUCCUACGGGAGGCAGCAGUGGGGAAUAUUGGACAAUGGGCGCAAGCCUGAUCCAGCCAUGCCGCGUGAGUGAUGAAGGCCUUAGGGUUGUAAAGCUCUUUCACCGGAGAAGAUAAUGACGGUAUCCGGAGAAGAAGCCCCGGCCAACUUCGUGCCAGCAGCCGCGGUAAUACGAAGGGGGCUAGCGUUGUUCGGAAUUACUGGGCGUAAAGCGCACGUAGGCGGACAUUUAAGUCAGAGGUGAAAUCCCGGAGCUCAACUUCGGAACUGCCUUUGAUACUGGGUGUCUUGAGUAUGGAAGAGGUUAGUGGAAUUGCGAGUGUAGAGGUGAAAUUCGUAGA
This 557-nucleotide ribosomal RNA is filed under the name uncultured bacterium. Its description in RNAcentral is "bacterial SSU rRNA". It matches the Rfam family "Bacterial small subunit ribosomal RNA", at positions 102 to 694 of the family's 1533-position model. The record is from RNAcentral.